RNAcentral lists this RNase P RNA (343 nucleotides) under Oscillospiraceae bacterium. RNAcentral's name for it is "RNase P RNA component class A". It matches the Rfam family "Bacterial RNase P class A". Rfam says of the family: Ribonuclease P (RNase P) is a ubiquitous endoribonuclease, found in archaea, bacteria and eukarya as well as chloroplasts and mitochondria. Its best characterised activity is the generation of mature 5'-ends of tRNAs by cleaving the 5'-leader elements of precursor-tRNAs. Cellular RNase Ps are ribonucleoproteins. The record is from RNAcentral. Lineage: Bacteria; Bacillati; Bacillota; Clostridia; Eubacteriales; Oscillospiraceae.
AAAAGUAAACGGGGCAGUCGCCGGCAGUUGAUGAAAAGAUAUGCUGCGGGAGGAAAGUCCGGACUCCACAGAGCAAAAAUAGCGGCUAACCGCCGCCGGGGGCGACCCUAGGGCCAGUGCAACAGAAAUAUACCGCCUUCGGGUAAGGAUGGAAAGGCGAGGUAAGAGCUCACCACCGGGUAUGGUAACAUGCUUGGUCUGUAAACCCUAUUUGGAGCAAUACCGUGGAAGCCAUUAUGCGUCUGCUCGGCGUGGCUUAGGAGGUAGCACCGAGUUUGCCGGCGACGGCAAACCAAGAUAGAUGACUGCAUUACAGAAUCCGGCUUAUUGUUUGGUUUUCGUC